CAGUAGCCGCGGUAAUACGAAGGGUGCAAGCGUUACUCGGAAUUACUGGGCGUAAAGCGUGCGUAGGUGGUGGUUUAAGUCCGUUGUGAAAGCCCUGGGCUCAACCUGGGAAUUGCAGUGGAUACUGGGUCACUAGAGUGUGGUAGAGGAUAGUGGAAUUUCCGGUGUAGCAGUGAAAUGCGUAGAGAUCGGAAGGAACAUCUGUGGCGAAGGCGACUAUCUGGGCCAACACUGACACUGAGGUACGAAAGCAUGGGGAGCAAACAGGAUUAGAUACCCCUGUAGUCCCUGUCUCUUAUAC
This 301-nucleotide ribosomal RNA is filed under the name uncultured bacterium. RNAcentral describes it as "partial 16S ribosomal RNA". It matches the Rfam family "Bacterial small subunit ribosomal RNA", at positions 509 to 807 of the family's 1533-position model. The record is from RNAcentral.